RNAcentral lists this transfer-messenger RNA (359 nucleotides) under Campylobacter jejuni. It matches the Rfam family "transfer-messenger RNA". From Rfam's summary of the family: Bacterial tmRNA, also known as 10Sa RNA or SsrA, is named for its dual tRNA and mRNA-like properties. Its role is to liberate the mRNA from a stalled ribosome. To accomplish this part of the tmRNA is used as a reading frame that ends in a translation stop signal. Lineage: Bacteria; Pseudomonadati; Campylobacterota; Epsilonproteobacteria; Campylobacterales; Campylobacteraceae. The record is from RNAcentral.
GGGAGCGACUUGGCUUCGACAGGAGUAAGUCUGCUUAGAUGGCAUGUCGCUUUGGGCAAAGCGUAAAAAGCCCAAAUAAAAUUAAACGCAAACAACGUUAAAUUUGCUCCUGCUUACGCUAAAGCUGCGUAAGUUCAGUUGAGCCUGAAAUUUAAGUCAUACUAUCUAGCUUAAUUUUCGGUCAUUUUUGAUAGUGUAGCCUUGCGUUUGACAAGCGUUGAGGUGAAAUAAAGUCUUAGCCUUGCUUUUGAGUUUUGGAAGAUGAGCGAAGUAGGGUGAAGUAGUCAUCUUUGCUAAGCAUGUAGAGGUCUUUGUGGGAUUAUUUUUGGACAGGGGUUCGAUUCCCCUCGCUUCCACCA